Molecule: transfer RNA, 77 nt
Filed under: Halanaerobiaceae bacterium
Lineage: Bacteria; Bacillati; Bacillota; Clostridia; Halanaerobiales; Halanaerobiaceae
Also listed under: 2 other names
Description: tRNA-Pro
Rfam family: tRNA
About the family: Transfer RNA (tRNA) molecules are approximately 80 nucleotides in length.
Source: RNAcentral
CUGCCCGUAGCGCAGUUUGGCAGCGCGCUUGCUUCGGGAGCAAGAGGUCCCGAGUUCAAAUCUCGGCGGGCAGACCA